This 321-nucleotide ribosomal RNA is filed under the name uncultured eukaryote. RNAcentral's name for it is "partial 18S ribosomal RNA". It matches the Rfam family "Eukaryotic small subunit ribosomal RNA", at positions 1470 to 1796 of the family's 1831-position model. The record is from RNAcentral.
CCCUUAGAUGUUCUGGGCUGCACGCGCGCUACACUGAUGCGUUCAACGAGUCUGCCUUGGCCGAGAGGUCUGGGUAAUCUUGUGAAAGCGCAUCGUGAUGGGGAUAGAUUAUUGCAAUUGUUAGUCUUCAACGAGGAAUUCCUAGUAAGCGCGAGUCAUCAACUCGUGCUGAUUACGUCCCUGCCCUUUGUACACACCGCCCGUCACUCCUACCGAUUGAGUGAUCCGGUGAAUAAUUCGGACUGCGAAGGGCCCGGUUUCCGAGUCCUUUGUAGGAAGUUUAGUGAACCUUAUCACUUAGAGGAAGGAGAAGUCGUAACA